RNAcentral lists this ribosomal RNA (468 nucleotides) under uncultured bacterium. RNAcentral's name for it is "partial 16S ribosomal RNA". It matches the Rfam family "Bacterial small subunit ribosomal RNA", at positions 28 to 507 of the family's 1533-position model. The record is from RNAcentral.
GACGAACGCUGGCGGCGUGCUUAACACAUGCAAGUCGAACGGAAAGGCCCUGCUUUUGUGGGGUGCUCGAGUGGCGAACGGGUGAGUAACACGUGAGUAACCUGCCCUUGAUUUUGGGAUAACUUCAGGAAACUGGGGCUAAUACCGGAUAGGAGCUCCUGCUGCAUGUUGGGGGUUGGAAAGUUUCGGCGGUUGGGGAUGGACUCGCGGCUUAUCAGCUUGUUGGUGGGGUAGUGGCUUACCAAGGCUUUGACGGGUAGCCGGCCUGAGAGGGUGACCGGCCACAUUGGGACUGAGAUACGGCCCAGACUCCUACGGGAGGCAGCAGUGGGGAAUAUUGCACAAUGGGAGGAAGCCUGAUGCAGCAACGCCGCGUGCGGGAUGACGGCCUUCGGGUUGUAAACCGCUUUCGCCUGUGACGAAGCGUGAGUGACGGUAAUGGGUAAAGAAGCACCGGCUAACUACGUG